CUGUAUCACACAUUAAUGUCCUGCAGGGUUAGAGUGGAUGUCUGUGGUACGCAAACUUUUCGCUGAUUGUUUGGAAGGAACGCCCUGUUUUCAUGCUGUCGCUCGAUGACCGUGGGCACCAGCAGGCGAUGACACAGACCUAUGGUUCCAUCAGCUGACUGGCCUGUGUAGCAGAGCCAUGAAAGAAGCGAAGGAAGCCGAGAAGUCGUGGAGGCGUCGCCAGGUGGUCUUGCUGCAUGUUCAGAAGAGAAAUCCCUCUUUCUCGUGCUUAAUCGCGGAAGGGUGUUGACCCGGACUCGACGCCUUUGUCUGGAUGUGCCCGUCCUCUACAGACGACGGCUCUAUACGGCAACGGUGAACGGCGUCUUCUUCGUACAGGGGGUACUUCGAGCGUAAUCUACCUAGUUCCUGCUGUGAGAAGCAAGCAAGCAAGCAAGCAUGCAUGGAGAGAACUGCUGUGGUCCUCUCGGAGAAGCCAAAGGUGUUCAACACUACUGCAGCGGAGGAAGUCUAACGAAGAGGACAUCAGCGAAGUCUUUAUGUACUUGUUUGGAAGACACAAAUAAUCUCGGAAUUGAGCAUACACUUUACACACAGUUAAAAAAAAAAAAAAAAGGCGCGCGUACAUAUGAAUAUCAGAUAAAAAUUUCGAUGGUUGGGGGGGGGGAUUGGUUUCGUGUUCCUCUAGAAAGUGCUUUUAGUGCGCGAUAAUUU
Long non-coding RNA from Ornithodoros turicata, 714 nucleotides. RefSeq lists it as uncharacterized. The record is from RefSeq and is a predicted model, not a curated record. Lineage: Eukaryota; Metazoa; Arthropoda; Arachnida; Ixodida; Argasidae. The transcript is spliced from 3 exons.